GAUGAAGAACGCAGUGAAAUGCGAUAAGUAAUGUGAAUUGCAGAAUUCAGUGAAUCAUCGAAUCUUUGAACGCACCUUGCGCCCUUUGGCUAUUCUGAAGGGCAUGCCUGUUUGAGUAUCAUGAACACCUCAACUCUCAUGGUUCGCCAUGAUGAGCUUGGACUUUGGGGGUCUUGCUGGCCUACGGUCGGCUCCUCUCAAAUGAAUCAGCUUGCCAGUGUUUGGUAGAGUCGCAGGUGUGAUAACUAUCUACGCUUGUGGUUUUCUGCCAGAUAACCUUCAGUGAUGGAGGUUCGCUGGAGCUUAUAAAUGUCUCUCCCCAGUGAGGACAGCUUUUUGAACGUUUGAUCUCAAAUCAGGUAGGACUACCCGCUGAACUUAAGCAUAUCAAUAAGCGGAGGA
This 402-nucleotide unclassified non-coding RNA is filed under the name soil metagenome. Its description in RNAcentral is "partial contains 5.8S ribosomal RNA, internal transcribed spacer 2, and large subunit ribosomal RNA". The stretch from base 1 to 121 matches the Rfam family "5.8S ribosomal RNA", at positions 35 to 154 of the family's 154-position model. The record is from RNAcentral.